This 497-nucleotide ribosomal RNA is filed under the name uncultured bacterium. RNAcentral describes it as "partial 16S ribosomal RNA". It matches the Rfam family "Bacterial small subunit ribosomal RNA", at positions 28 to 507 of the family's 1533-position model. The record is from RNAcentral.
GAUGAACGCUGGCGGCGUGCCUAAUACAUGCAAGUCGAGCGAACGGACGAGAAGCUUGCUUCUCUGAUGUUAGCGGCGGACGGGUGAGUAACACGUGGAUAACCUACCUAUAAGACUGGGAUAACUUCGGGAAACCGGAGCUAAUACCGGAUAAUAUUUUGAACCGCAUGGUUCAAAAGUGAAAGACGGUCUUGCUGUCACUUAUAGAUGGAUCCGCGCUGCAUUAGCUAGUUGGUAAGGUAACGGCUUACCAAGGCAACGAUGCAUAGCCGACCUGAGAGGGUGAUCGACCACACUGGAACUGAGACACGGUCCAGACUCCUACGGGAGGCAGCAGUAGGGAAUCUUCCGCAAUGGGCGAAAGCCUGACGGAGCAACGCCGCGUGGGUGAUGAAGGUCUUCGGAUCGUAAAACUCUGUUAUUAGGGAAGAACAUAUGUGUAAGUAACUGUGCACAUCUUGACGGUACCUAAUCAGAAAGCCACGGCUAACUACGUG